GACGAAGGGGGCUAGCGUUGUUCGGAAUUACUGGGCGUAAAGCGCACGUAGGCGGCCUUUCAAGUCAGAUGUGAAAGCCCCGGGCUUAACCCGGGAACCGCAUUUGAUACUGUUGGGCUUGAGACCGGGAGAGGAUAGCGGAAUUCCCAGUGUAGAGGUGAAAUUCGUAGAUAUUGGGAAGAACACCAGUGGCGAAGGCGGCUAUCUGGACCGGUACUGACGCUGAGGUGCGAAAGCGUGGGGAGCAAACAGG
RNAcentral lists this ribosomal RNA (253 nucleotides) under uncultured bacterium. RNAcentral describes it as "partial 16S ribosomal RNA". It matches the Rfam family "Bacterial small subunit ribosomal RNA", at positions 524 to 776 of the family's 1533-position model. The record is from RNAcentral.